UGCCAGCCGCCGCGGUAAUACGGAGGGUGCAAGCGUUAAUCGGAAUUACUGGGCGUAAAGCGCGCGUAGGCGGCUGGAUCAGUCGGGUGUGAAAGCCCCGGGCUCAACCUGGGAACUGCAUUCGAUACUGUCCGGCUGGAGUAUGGGAGAGGGUAGUGGAAUUCCAUGUGUAGCGGUGAAAUGCGUAGAUAUGUGGAGGAACACCGGUGGCGAAGGCGGCUGCCUGGCCCAAUACUGACGCUGAGGUGCGAAAGCGUGGGUAGCGAACAGGAUUAGAUA
RNAcentral lists this ribosomal RNA (279 nucleotides) under uncultured bacterium. RNAcentral's name for it is "partial 16S ribosomal RNA". It matches the Rfam family "Bacterial small subunit ribosomal RNA", at positions 506 to 784 of the family's 1533-position model. The record is from RNAcentral.